RNAcentral lists this ribosomal RNA (468 nucleotides) under uncultured bacterium. RNAcentral's name for it is "partial 16S ribosomal RNA". It matches the Rfam family "Bacterial small subunit ribosomal RNA", at positions 28 to 507 of the family's 1533-position model. The record is from RNAcentral.
GACGAACGCUGGCGGCGUGCUUAACACAUGCAAGUCGAACGGAAAGGCCCUGCUUUUGUGGGGUGCCCGAGUGGCGAACGGGUGAGUAACACGUGAGUAACCUGCCCUUGACUUUGGGAUAACUUCAGGAAACUGGGGCUAAUACCGGAUAGGAGCUCCUGCUGCAUGGUGGGGGUUGGAAAGUUUCGGCGGUUGGGGAUGGACUCGCGGCUUAUCAGCUUGUUGGUGGGGUAGUGGCUUACCAAGGCUUUGACGGCUAGCCGGCCUGAGAGGGUGACCGGCCACAUUGGGACUGAGAGAGGGCCCAGAGGCGUACGGGAGGCAGCAGUGGGGAAUAUUGCACAAUGGGCGGAAGUCUGAGGCAAAGACGCCGCGUGCGGGAUGACGGCCUUCGGGUUGUAAACCGCUUUAGCCUGUGACGAAGCGUGAGUGACGGUAAUGGGUAAAGAAGCACCGGCUAACUACGUG